Molecule: long non-coding RNA, 997 nt
Filed under: Homo sapiens (human)
Lineage: Eukaryota; Metazoa; Chordata; Mammalia; Primates; Hominidae
Description: long non-coding RNA NONHSAT170569.1
Source: RNAcentral
GUCCCGGAACACUCUCGGCCCUCUUCAGCCACUCCCUCCCCAACCCACACGCCAUCAACCUCCAGACCCUCUCGCCGUGGCUUAGAGGUGUCUCUGACAACGUGGCACACUGGGAAGGCCUUCUUUCCUGCUACCAAUACAAAUGCAUUCUGAAUUUGAUAUGUCAUUAAAUGUAAAAAUACAGCCAAUUUGAAACAAGCAAAUGGAAAUUCCCAGGAACCAAAAACAGAAAGAAAAAUCAGAGGUACCGCAGUGCUGUCCCUGCAGACAGAAUUUGGGAGAGGUACUCAGAGUCACCUCCUGUGAGCCUAUGCAAGCCAGCUCCUGCACAACCCUGGUUUUAGUCCAGGAGAAAAUUCAUUCUUCUGGAAACAGACUUGAAAAAAAUAAAAUAUUUACUCUACCUUUCUUGUUCAGAACCAUGCCUUAGGGCUUCUGCAGAAUUCCACAUUAAACAGGAUGAAGAAUAGGUUGUUAGCAGACUGAGGUACUUGGGGCAACAUUUCGUACACAACAGGAGGGAGAAACGACUCCAGGGAGGGCCCUGAAUGUGAUCUAUGAUUGCAACAAGCAGCCCUGAUGCGGAUCCGGAGGGCAGGGAUGACGUGGGGGCUGCCUUUCUGGUUGACCUGCUGGUUGUCUUGUGGUAGAGGAGAUUUUGCCUUGCAAUUUUACAUACUUAUGCUACGUGGAAGGCUGGGUGGCGUGACUUCAGGAAAAUGUUUCCUCAGGAAAGAGACACACAGAGAGAGAGAGAAAGAGAGAAAGAGAGAACCCACCUACCUGUUUUGCAAAAGUCUCAUGAAUCAUCCCUUCCUGUGGUCCUGCUCCCUGAGAUCCUUUCACCGCUCACAGUGGGCUACUUCUAAGAGCGUGCCUGGCACAGGGUCACUGAGAGCAUAGUCUUAAUAAAACAAUGAUGGAUGCUUGUCUCUCUCACUGGGUGCCAUGCACUUUGAUCAGAAGCUUUAAGAAUGUUUUCCUCCACUGUCUAGUC